UUUGUGUGUCACAGCAGCCUAAGGACAGUUCAAUUUAACAAUAACUCUCUAUGACAUCACCCACAUGAAGUCAUCAUUCACAGUUAAUUUAGUUAAUUUUAUGGUAAAAGCGCAGAGCAGAAAUCAAUAACACUUGAGCUGAGGCGUCCAGAUUACCUGAAUUCACCCAAUACCUUUAUAGACCCCGACUGGGACUCGAACUAGGGGCGCAUGCUCAGUCGCUGUUUACAGGACGCCUUUUCUACAAACUGAGCUACACAGCGUCAAGAACCCGGAAGUCCCUCUGGUUGAAGAUGCGUCAAAUAAGUCCCACCCACAGAUUUUCUGACGAAUGCAGGUGGUGCGCGCCAAAAGGGGCGGUCUCGCUCUGUUUCCCGCGUAAAGUUAGCGCAUUUCCCUCUAAAACAAUAGAGGUCUGUAUUAAUGGCUAAUGGAUCUUCACUCAGAUCAGAGCAGCUCUUCUGUGAGGACACGAAUAAGGUGAACAGUGGGACUUGUCUUCAACUUCAGGUGGAGCAGCUCUGACCUGUAUGUUGAUCAGCACCGGAGAGGAGAGACACCUGGUCCAACAAGGUGACGGACGAGUCGCCGCAGGACGUGAAGCAGGAAAACUGAGGAUCCGUCUCCUGGUGAAACUCCUUCAGGUCCUGCAGUUUGUUGACUCUGGUUUCACCUGUUGACAGUGAGCACUGUUGUCUUUGCUGGUUAUUUACAUAAUAAAACCUUUUUUUAAAAUUUCACUCUAUUGUGUUUUUUAUAGAUUUUUAAAGCACGUGUUGAGUCUUUUGAUGGAGACCAACGUCUCCUCUCAGUGGCAUUUUCAAAGCUUUAACUAUAUUUGAUGUAUACACUUUCUUUCUGUAAUGGAGAGCAGGGCUUCCAUUACCUUCAUUAUCUAUUCCUAUUCUGGGAAUGACUGAUUUAGAAACCAUGUGUUGUUUAAUGUCUGAGUAAGUUAACCUCUCUCCAUCUCUUAUCACAUGAAUGAAGCUAACAGCAGCUCAGUGAGAGGUUUAUAAUGUUUUACCAGCAGCUGAUUUGAAAUAUACCUUAAGUGCUGUCUGUGAUAUCACCAAGCAGACGGAUAAAUGGUCAUUUUGAGCAGCUACAGUAGUUUAUAUGAUCAUUAUGUAGCCUCAUUGUUGCCUGCACUUUAAAAUCAUAUCACUGGUCUGUAAAGCACCAAAUGUUCUCAGGACUGAACACAUUUGGUUUACUUGUACGGGGAU
Acanthopagrus latus (yellowfin seabream) is the source of this 1229-nucleotide long non-coding RNA. RefSeq lists it as uncharacterized. The transcript has 3 exons. NCBI's taxonomy places the organism in Eukaryota, Metazoa, Chordata, Actinopteri, Spariformes, Sparidae. The record is from RefSeq and is a predicted model, not a curated record.